RNAcentral lists this ribosomal RNA (301 nucleotides) under uncultured bacterium. RNAcentral's name for it is "partial 16S ribosomal RNA". It matches the Rfam family "Bacterial small subunit ribosomal RNA", at positions 509 to 809 of the family's 1533-position model. The record is from RNAcentral.
CAGUCGCCGCGGGAAUACGGAGGGUGCAAGCGUUAAUCGGAAUUACUGGGCGUAAAGCGUGCGUAGGUGGUGGUUUAAGUCCGUUGUGAAAGCCCUGGGCUCAACCUGGGAAUUGCAGUGGAUACUGGGUCACUAGAGUGUGGUAGAGGAUAGUGGAAUUUCCGGUGUAGCAGUGAAAUGCGUAGAGAUCGGAAGGAACAUCUGUGGCGGAGGCGACUAUCUGGGCCAACACUGACACUGAGGCACGAAAGCGUGGGGAGCAAACAGGAUUAGAUACCCCUGUAGUCCCUGUCUCUUAUAA